Molecule: RNA transcript, 5263 nt
Organism: Hypanus sabinus (Atlantic stingray)
Lineage: Eukaryota; Metazoa; Chordata; Chondrichthyes; Myliobatiformes; Dasyatidae
Gene name: E3 ubiquitin-protein ligase BRE1A-like
Exons: 4
Source: RefSeq, a predicted model, not a curated record
UGUUCAUGGGUUCAAAGUCCAUUUAGAAAUUGCUGGCAGAGGGGAAGUAGCUGUUCCUGAAUUGCUGAGCUUGUGUCUUUACACUUCUGUACCUCCUUCCUGAUGGCAGCUUGUUUGUGAGUUUCAACAUGCUGUUUGGACAAUCUAAACGCUGACCCAGUUAGACUGGAAAGGCACGGUGUUGAGAGUCGGGUGAAGUGAGAUUGCUCCGGUUUCCGAGUUGAUUUGGAGAGGUUGAGAAUGGCUUCUCCGGCAGCAAGAUCUGGGCCCAGAGCGAUUCGCCAUACGGGGCCCAGUUCCCAGUGCGAGACACGGACAAUUUAAACGCUGGUCCGGAUAGUCUGGGAUCUCCUCUCUCCGCGAUGCUAAGGAUUUGAGACUGCCCCCAGGCGCUGUGCUUCCUGUCUGCGAAUGGUGGCCACUUCAUUAGCUACUGCCGAUGGACACAUUUCUUUGCUGUUAACUAACUGAUUACAGUUUCUGGAUCCUGCAAAGUUCCCAUUGGACUUACGACUGGUCCCUGUACCUCUUCACUGAAGAUGGCAAUGAGAAGAGGUCACAUCCCAGGUGACUGGGGUUCUCAAUGACGAAUGAUUCCAUCAUCAGAUGUCCUUGCGAAGAAAAUGUUCUGCCCUGAAGAACAAGAAAAAUUGUGCUGUGCUUUUUUAAAACUCAACCAUUUCGUGUUGGACAGCAGCUGUCUCUUUGUGCUGAAGAAGAGGCUGAAGGCAUUGUUGAUGUUACACAGCCAGAUUGGCAGCUUUGGAGUUUUCAACAUGCUUCCUACCUGGAAAAACAAAGUCACCAAGGUCACUCUAAAGCCAUUCUACUAAGUGGAAAGAUAAGUAUACCCUCCCUCUUUUGUACGUUUUACACAUUCAAUACGGUAGUGUAAUGCUUCACUGUACCAGCAAUCCAUGUCAAAUUCCUACUGCAGCCUGUAAGUUCUUCUUGUGUCUGUGUGUUUCCUCCAGGUUCUCUGGUUUCCUCCCACAGUCCAAAAACGGACCUGUUGGUAGGUUAAUUGGUCAUUGUGAAUUGUUCCGUGAUUAGGCUAGGGUUAAAUCAGGGGAUUCUUGGGUGGCGUGUCUUGAGGGGCCAGUAGGGCCUGUUCUGUCCGUGCUGUAUCACAAUAAAUGAAUGAAAAAUAAAUAAUAAACACAGUAAGGUACGCACAUGGAACCUGGUUCCAUUGAUCCAUUCAAUAAGUACCUGGAAGAGUAUUCUUUCUGUUGAGCCGUUCCCUGAAGUGUUGCUGCAAAGGUCACAACUGAAGGUUAAUAGCUAGAAGAAAUGAUUCAUAUGUCGUUCACAAAGACUGAUAAAGCUGUUCUAAUGGUGCAGAACUGUCUGUAACCAAGCAUAAGGAUGACUGACAAAGCUGUUCUAUUGCCAAACAAAUGGUGUAGAACGGUUUGUAAUCCAAAGGCCUUUCAAGUUCAAGUUUAAUAUUCAUUCAACCAUACAAAUGCAUACAGCUAAUCGAAGCAUCAUUCCUCUGGGGCCAAGGCUCAAAACAUAAUACAUCCCGUCACACACUAGUUACAACAGCACAUACAGUUACAAAAAAAAAUAUUAGCUCACAUCCCUGAGUGGCACGGUCUAAAGAUCGGUAGUGCAUGGGAUGUUGUCCCAGAGCCACAUUUCUACAAGAACAAGCGCACAGCAGUUCCUCGUCUCGCUCUGAUGCACUGCAAACGAAUGCAAUCUAGCCUGUCGUACAAUGGGCAAACACUGGAGAGCAGCACUGACGGGACGGGCCAGAUCCCAGCGUUCCUGCCGGGCCUCUGCUCUCUCCUACAUCGCCUUUGGACCAGAUCAGAUUGGACUUAAUUGGGAUGAGUAGUGUGCCUAAUGGUUUUUGACCGUGACAACUGAGUCACAGUAUCCUACAGCAAUGAAGGAGGCAAUUUGUCCCAUUAAACACAUAGAAGCCUCCAGAAAGACUUAAAAAGAAUGGAAUAUUUAUGACAUAGAUACAGUCCAUUUCAAUUCAUCACGUCUGGACUUGUUGGAGAAGAGCUAGCUCACCUCCCCUAACCUCCUAAAAGUCACUCAGGCCACUUCAGUUAAUUAUAAACAGAAUGAGAGUUUAUAUAACCUCACCCUUUCAGGCAGCGAGUUUCAGACACUCUCCUCCCGUGGAGUGAAAGAAGAUCUUCUCACCUCCUCCCCAAUCCUCCCACGUUUUAACUUUAUGCUCCAAGGUUUUUACGGCACAGUUAGAAAUUGAGAAAGAAAGCCAUUUUACUGUAAUCUUCUUCUUCAUUCCCACUGAGUUCAUGGAGGCUGAACACAGACUGGAGCAGGAGUUUCCCAACAUCGACCCAGAGGUCCAUGGACCCCAACUUGGGAACCCCCGGGUUAGAGGAAUAGCAUCUGGGUCAUCCACGACCUGACAGCAGGAACAUUGAAUUCCAGUUCAGAGUUAAUUUAUUAUCCAAGUACAGAUACGUCUCCAGUUCCUGGUAACCUGCUCCUCCUCUGUCUCUUUCAUUCUCCAUCUGAUCAACUCCCCCUCCUCCUGCCCCAGUGCACUUCACCCGGUUCCUUUCCCCUUUUCCUCCUCCACUCAUCACCUCCACUCCUCCCACUGACUUCCCUCCCCCACUGAUCCUAUCUGCCCUUCCCACCUACCUCAUUUGCUACCAUGCUCUACCUUGACUUCCCAUCAGAUUCCAUCACCUUCAUCCCUUUGUGCCUCCACAUAUCACCUCCCAAUAUGUCUAUUUUCACCCUUUUUGCCUCCUUCUGCCUAUCAACCCUCCUCACCAUGGAUCCACCUAUCUCCUGACAUCCCUUCCCCUCACCUCCUUAAACUUGCUCUCUCCCCUCUGCUCGUUUAGUCCAGAUGAAGAAUCUCAUCCCAAAAUGUCAACUCUCCAUUUCUCUCCACAGAAGCUGCCUGACCCGGUGAAUUCCUCUGGCAUUUCGUCUAUUGCUACAGAUCCCAGCAUCUGGAGUCUUUUGUGUCUUUAUUUGCAGCGUUGAAAAAGGCCAGUGAUAUGAUCCACGUCACAUUUCACGAGCUGAGAGUCCAAUUGGCCUCUGGUGGUGACUUAUCAGUUGUUCAGUAUUGAGCAUUACAGUAGGGUAGCGGUUAGUGUGAUGUUCUACCGCGCCUGUGGUCACCGAUCAGAGUUAAAUUCUGCUGCUGUCUGCAGCAGUUUGUGCGUUCUCCCUGUGAAGUGUGGAUUUCCUGUGGGAGCUCAUUCCUCAUUCCAAAGCCAUACAGUUUAGGGUUUGUAGGUUCUAGGCAUCCGGAGUAAAGUGACACUUGCAGGCUGCCUGCAGCACAUCCAUGGACUGUGUUGGCAGUUGACACAAGACAACGCGUUUCACUGUAUACUUCGAUGUUUUGAUGUCCGUGUGACAAAUAAAGUUAAUCCUCAACCUCCUGCCUGCACAGGAGAUCUGCCACUUACGAAUCUGCAGACUUGUGCAUUGAGCUAACCCUGAGAUCUCUCAGGCUAGAGUCCAACUACAUUGAGUCAAUGACUCUAUGCACUGUCAUAGAGACAUACAGCAUACCCAAAGACUAACAGGCCCUUCAAGCCCAUGCUGACCAAGAUACCUAUCUAAGCUAGCCACGGUCGCCUGUGACAAAGAAUUCUACAGAUUCACCACUCUCUGGCUAAAGAAGUUCCUCCUCAUCUUCAUUCUAAAAGAACGCCCCUCUAUUCUGAGGCUGUGUCCUCUAGACUUUGACUCUCCCACCAUAGGAAACAUCCUCUACACAUCCACUCUAUCAAGCCCUUUCACCAUUCAAUAGGUUUCAAUGAGGCCAUCCCUCAUUCUUCUGAAUUCCAGUGAAUACAGGCCCAAAGCCAUCAAACACUAUCUUUGUAUGACAAGCUAUUCAAUCCUGGAACCAUUUUCGUGAACCUCCUUUCACCCCUCUCCAGCGUCAGCUCAUCCUUUCUGAGAUAUGGGGCCCAAAUUUGCUCACAACACUCUAAGUGAGGCCUCACCUGUGCUUUAUAGAGUCUCAACAUUACAUCCUUGUUUUAGAGUUCUAGUCCUCUUGAAAUGAAUGCUAACAUUGCAUUUGCCUUCCCCACCACUGACUCAACCUGUAAACUAACCUUUAGGGAAUUCUGCACAAGGACUUCCAAGUUCCUUUGCACCUCAGUUUUUUGUACUUUAUUUCCAUUUAGAAAAUAGUCCACCCAUUCAUUUCUUCUACCAAAGUGCAUGAUCAAGUGCAGGUCUAAGUCCUACUGUAGCCUCUCUACUUCCUCAAAACUACCUGCCCCUCCACCUAUCUUCACAUCAUCUGCAGACUUUGCAACAAAGCCAUCAAUUGCAUCAUCCAAAUCAUUGACAGAAAAUGUAAAUGUAAUCGGUCCCAACACAGACCCUGUGGAACAUCGCUGUUCACUGGCAGCCAGCCAGAAAAGAAUCCCUUCUUUCCCUCUCUUUGCCUCCUGCCAAUCGACCAUUGUUUCAUCCAUGUUAGAAUCUUUCCUGUAACACCAUGGGCUUGUAGCUUGUUAAGCAGCCUCAUGUGAGGGACCUUGUCAAAGGCUCUCUGAAAAUCCACGUACACAACAUUAAGUGAUUCUUCUUUAAUUACCUUGCUUGUUAUUUCUUCAAAGAAUUUCAACAGAUUUGUCAGGCAAGGUUUUCCCUUGAGGAAACCAUGCUGACUAUGGCCUACUUUAUCAUGUGCCUUCAAGUACCCUGACACUCAUCCUUAAAAAUCAACUCCAACAUCUUCCCAACUGGAGUUCAGACUAACUGGCCUAUAAUUUAUUUUCUUUUGACUCCCUUUUUGAAGAGUGGAGUGAUAUUUGCAAUUUUCCAAUCUUCUGGAAGUAUUCCAGAGUCUAGUGAUUUUUGAAAGAUCAUUACUAAUGCCUCCACAAUAUCUUCAGCCACCUCUUUCAGAAACUCUGGGGUGUACACCAUCUGGUCCAAGUGACUUAUCUACCUUCAGACCUUUCAGUUUCCCAAGAACCUUCUCUCUAGUUAUGGUAACUUCACUCACUUCAUGCCCCCUAACACCUGGAACUUCCACCAUACUGCUAGUGUCUUCUACAGUGAAGACUGAUGUAAAAUACUUAUUCAGUUCAUUCACUAUUUCAUUCUCCCCCAUUACUACCUUUCCAGCAUCGUUUUCCAACAGUCCAAUAUCUACUUUCACCUUUCUUUUACACUUUAUGUAUCUGAAGAAACUUUUGAUAUCCUCUUUAAUAUUAUUGGCUAGCUUACUUUCAUAUUCCAUCUUUACCUUCUUGACAUUUUUAGUUGCCUUCUGUUG